Molecule: ribosomal RNA, 496 nt
Filed under: uncultured bacterium
Lineage: Bacteria
Description: partial 16S ribosomal RNA
Rfam family: Bacterial small subunit ribosomal RNA
Source: RNAcentral
GAUGAACGCUGGCGGCGUGCCUAAUACAUGCAAGUCGAGCGAACGGACGAGAAGCUUGCUUCUCUGAUGUUAGCGGCGGACGGGUGAGUAACACGUGGAUAACCUACCUAUAAGACUGGGAUAACUUCGGGAAACCGGAGCUAAUACCGGAUAAUAUUUUGAACCGCAUGGUUCAAAAGUGAAAGACGGUCUUGCUGUCACUUAUAGAUGGAUCCGCGCUGCAUUAGCUAGUUGGUAAGGUAACGGCUUACCAAGGCAACGAUGCAUAGCCGACCUGAGAGGGUGAUCGGCCACACUGGAACUGAGACACGGUCCAGACUCCUACGGGAGGCAGCAGUAGGGAAUCUUCCGCAAUGGGCGAAAGCCUGACGGAGCAACGCCGCGUGAGUGAUGAGGUCUUCGGAUCGUAAAACUCUGUUAUUAGGGAAGAACAUAUGUGUAAGUAACUGUGCACAUCCUGACGGUACCUAAUCAGAAAGCCACGGCUAACUACGUG